This 463-nucleotide ribosomal RNA is filed under the name uncultured bacterium. RNAcentral describes it as "bacterial SSU rRNA". It matches the Rfam family "Bacterial small subunit ribosomal RNA", at positions 34 to 498 of the family's 1533-position model. The record is from RNAcentral.
CGCUAGCGGCAGGCUUAACACAUGCAAGUCGAGGGGUAUUGGUUUUCGGACUAAGAGACCGGCGCACGGGUGCGUAACGCGUAUGCAAUCUGCCUUUCACAGAGGGAUAGCCCAGAGAAAUUUGGAUUAAUACCUCAUAGUAUUAUGUUUCGGCAUCGGGAUAUAAUUAAAGUCACAACGGUGAAAGAUGAGCAUGCGUCCCAUUAGCUAGUUGGUAAGGUAACGGCUUACCAAGGCCACGAUGGGUAGGGGUCCUGAGAGGGAGAUCCCCCACACUGGUACUGAGACACGGACCAGACUCCUACGGGAGGCAGCAGUGAGGAAUAUUGGACAAUGGGCGCAAGCCUGAUCCAGCCAUGCCGCGUGCAGGAUGACGGUCCUAUGGAUUGUAAACUGCUUUUGUACGAGAAGAAACACUCCUAUGUGUAGGAGCUUGACGGUAUCGUAAGAAUAAGGAUCGGCU